UAGGGAAUCUUCGGCAAUGGACGAAAGUCUGACCGAGCAACGCCGCGUGAGUGAAGAAGGUUUUCGGAUCGUAAAACUCUGUUGUUAGAGAAGAACAAGGACGUUAGUAACUGAACGUCCCCUGACGGUAUCUAACCAGAAAGCCACGGCUAACUACGUGCCAGCAGCCGCGGUAAUACGUAGGUGGCAAGCGUUGUCCGGAUUUAUUGGGCGUAAAGCGAGCGCAGGCGGUUUCUUAAGUCUGAUGUGAAAGCCCCCGGCUCAACCGGGGAGGGUCAUUGGAAACUGGGAGACUUGAGUGCAGAAGAGGAGAGUGGAAUUCCAUGUGUAGCGGUGAAAUGCGUCGAUAUAUGGAGGAACACCAGUGGCGAAGGCGGCUCUCUGGUCUGUAACUGACGCUGAGGCUCGAAAGCGUGGGGAGCAAACAGG
This 429-nucleotide ribosomal RNA is filed under the name Gemmatimonadota bacterium. Its description in RNAcentral is "Gemmatimonadetes bacterium partial 16S ribosomal RNA". It matches the Rfam family "Bacterial small subunit ribosomal RNA", at positions 355 to 776 of the family's 1533-position model. The record is from RNAcentral. Lineage: Bacteria; Pseudomonadati; Gemmatimonadota.